CUGGGGUUGCCGGAUCAAUGGCGGAAGCAGCUAGGCGCUGCUCCGGGCCGUAAAGGAACGCCCCCCAAGAGGCAGCACAGGAGCAGCAGAAGUAAAAUGAGCGAGCCUAGGAGCCGCGCCCAGGAACACCGCGGAAGGCACGGAGGCGACCAGCGCUGGGGCGCCUCGAGUCGAGCAAUGCAAGGACCGGGGCAGCAGCGCAGCGGGUGGCGCGGCCGCGGAUUUGAAGGCCUGGGGAGGGAGAUGGGCGGGGUAGAGAGAGAGGGAGGCUGCAGAGAGUGCAAGGACGGACGGACACGCUGCUCCUCGCCUGCGCGCUCGCGCUGUUCGAGAAGGCAAGCUGGGCUGGGCGGCAGAGAAGCAGAGGAGAGGAGGGUAGAGGAGUGGGAGAGCAGCGGCGGCAGUGGGCAGUGA
This 414-nucleotide unclassified non-coding RNA is filed under the name Zea mays. RNAcentral describes it as "misc RNA Zm00001eb052490". The record is from RNAcentral. Lineage: Eukaryota; Viridiplantae; Streptophyta; Magnoliopsida; Poales; Poaceae.